RNAcentral lists this ribosomal RNA (497 nucleotides) under uncultured bacterium. RNAcentral's name for it is "partial 16S ribosomal RNA". It matches the Rfam family "Bacterial small subunit ribosomal RNA", at positions 28 to 507 of the family's 1533-position model. The record is from RNAcentral.
GAUGAACGCUGGCGGCGUGCCUAAUACAUGCCAGUCGAGCGAACAGAUGAGGAGCUUGCUCCUCUGACGUUAGCGGCGGACGGGUGAGUAACACGUGGAUAACCUACCUAUAAGACUGGGAUAACUUCGGGAAACCGGAGCUAAUACCGGAUAAUAUAUUGAACCGCAUGGUUCAAUAGUGAAAGACGGUUUUGCUGUCACUUAUAGAUGGAUCCGCGCCGCAUUAGCUAGUUGGUAAGGUAACGGCUUACCAAGGCAACGAUGCGUAGCCGACCUGAGAGGGGGAGCCGCCACACUGGAAUUUAGACAAGGUCCAGACUCCUACGGGAGGCAGGAGUAAGGAAUUUUCCGCAAUGGGGGGAAAGCUGAAGGAGGAAGGGCGCGUGGAUGAUGAAGGUCCUCGGAACGUAAAACUCGGUUAUUAGGGAAGAACAAAAGUGUAAGUAACUAAGCACGUCUUGACGGUACCUAAUCAGAAAGCCACGGCUAACUACGUG